AACAAUUCGAUAAAAAAUUGUUCGAUUUUUGGAGCAAAAGAUUGAUACGAAAAUUUGUAGGAUCGUUAUUAUUAUAUGUUCUUUCGGAGAAUUCGUGAAGGAGUCGUCCAUACCGAUUGUAUUUGCUGGUAACGAGGAACACGUGCUUAUUGCUAAAAUUAGUAAUAACACUGUGGCGCCUAGGGUGUCGAAAAAGGAACUAACGAGAUAAAUGCGAGAGAGGAAGAGGAGGAGGAGGAGGAGGAGGAGGAGGCGAUGGGUGGAAGAUGAUGCUGCUUUGGAGCUGUCAAAGAUGGUUCAACGCGUAGAGAAGACAGAGAGAAGAGGAAGUGGUGCGUUGAAAGCCUCAAACGCAUAAGGAGAAGUAAGGGUUCGUUCACGAGCAACGUGAACGCGUGGCCUUGCGCUAUAAACGAGUCUCGGGAUUGAAAAGAAAAGGAAAA
This 443-nucleotide long non-coding RNA is filed under the name Polistes fuscatus (common paper wasp). RNAcentral describes it as "uncharacterized LOC122518965". Lineage: Eukaryota; Metazoa; Arthropoda; Insecta; Hymenoptera; Vespidae. The record is from RNAcentral.